This 113-nucleotide ribosomal RNA is filed under the name Arabis alpina (gray rockcress). Lineage: Eukaryota; Viridiplantae; Streptophyta; Magnoliopsida; Brassicales; Brassicaceae. The record is from RNAcentral.
GAUCAUACCAGCACUAAUGCACCGGAUCCCAUCAGAACUCCGCAGUCAAGCGUGCUUGGGCGAAAGUAGUACUAGGAUGGGUGACCUCCUGGGAAGUCCUCGUGUUGCACCCC